GAUGAAGAACGUAGCGAAAUGCGAUAAGUAAUGUGAAUUGCAGAAUUCAGUGAAUCAUCGAAUCUUUGAACGCACAUUGCGCCCGCCAGUAUUCUGGCGGGCAUGCCUGUUCGAGCGUCAUUUCAACCAUCAAGCCCCAGGCUUGUGUUGGGGACCUUCGGCUGCCGCAGGCCCUGAAAACCAGUGGCGGGCUCGCUGUCACACCGGGCGUAGUAGAUUUUAUCUCGCUCAGGGCGUGCUGCGGGUUCCGGCCGUUAAAAAGCCUUUUUUACCCAAGGUUGACCUCGGAUCAGGUAGGAAGACCCGCUGAACUUAAGCAUAUCAAUAAGCGGAGGA
Molecule: unclassified non-coding RNA, 336 nt
Filed under: soil metagenome
Description: partial contains 5.8S ribosomal RNA, internal transcribed spacer 2, and large subunit ribosomal RNA
Rfam family: 5.8S ribosomal RNA (bases 1-120)
Source: RNAcentral